AAGAGUUGAUUUGUAUAAAAUGUCUAGUAGUGUUCGGGUCGUGAUCUUAUAGAGAUGAUGGAGCCAAGUAAGUAUUUGGAAGUUCCAUAACUUUCCAAAAGCUCAUCCCCAUUAACUGGUAAAAAUAAAUGUAUACACACAUAAUUAGGUAGUCUAUUUAAAUAGCCCCCGGGUAGUAGUGUGGAAACUCCGGAGGAUGACGACAUCUAAGACUACAUAAGCUGAAAGUGAAAGUAAAGAUGCCAGAAUGGAUCAGCACCUCUCCAAGGCGAGUUUGCAAAGAUCACAGAGGGCAUCAUGACGUCACACGGCUGUUUUCUCUGCCUGUUGCUUUUAAGUGUAAUCCUGAUCGAGCCAUCAGAAGCAGGUUGUAUGGACCACUUCACAAAAAAAGGAUUGAUGCCGAGAGGUCCAGCGUUUACAUUACCGACUAUUUCAAAGUGACAGCCUGAGGUGUUCUUCAGUAAAUUGGACUACCGGACAGGAGGACCUGAGGCCCCACCGCAUUAUUUUUGGUAAGUUAAAUGUGUUUGUAACUAAUCCGUAAUUUAGGUCCUUA
Haplochromis burtoni (Burton's mouthbrooder) is the source of this 559-nucleotide long non-coding RNA. RefSeq lists it as uncharacterized. The transcript is spliced from 4 exons. The record is from RefSeq and is a predicted model, not a curated record. Lineage: Eukaryota; Metazoa; Chordata; Actinopteri; Cichliformes; Cichlidae.